GCCUGGGUGGCUCAGUCGGUUAAGCAUCUGACUUUGGCUCAGGCCAUGAUCUCACGGUUCGUGGGUUUGAGCCCCACGCUGGGCU
Felis catus (domestic cat) is the source of this 85-nucleotide transfer RNA. It matches the Rfam family "tRNA". From Rfam's summary of the family: Transfer RNA (tRNA) molecules are approximately 80 nucleotides in length. Their secondary structure includes four short double-helical elements and three loops (D, anti-codon, and T loops). NCBI's taxonomy places the organism in Eukaryota, Metazoa, Chordata, Mammalia, Carnivora, Felidae. The record is from Rfam.